Long non-coding RNA from Etheostoma cragini (Arkansas darter), 118 nucleotides. RefSeq lists it as uncharacterized. The record is from RefSeq and is a predicted model, not a curated record. Lineage: Eukaryota; Metazoa; Chordata; Actinopteri; Perciformes; Percidae. The transcript is spliced from 3 exons.
AUUAGUGACGUCACUUAUGGCAACGUCAGUUGGGGCUGAAGACUGCAAGUUUGAAAAUGAGAAAAAGUCUGGGAAUGUGGAGUUAGAAAGAAGUGUACAUACCAGACCUCUGUAGCCC